This 505-nucleotide ribosomal RNA is filed under the name uncultured bacterium. RNAcentral describes it as "partial 16S ribosomal RNA". It matches the Rfam family "Bacterial small subunit ribosomal RNA", at positions 28 to 507 of the family's 1533-position model. The record is from RNAcentral.
GACGAACGCUGGCGGCGUGCCUAAUACAUGCAAGUAGAACGCACAGUUUAUACCGUAGCUUGCUACACCAUAGACUGUGAGUUGCGAACGGGUGAGUAACGCGUAGGUAACCUGCCUGGUAGCGGGGGGUAACUAUUGGAAACGAUAGCUAAUACCGCAUAAUAUUGAUUAUUGCAUGAUAAUUGAUUGAAAGAUGCUAUUGCAUCACUACCAGAUGGACCUGCGUUGUAUUAGCUAGUAGGGGAGGUAACGGCUCACCUAGGCGACGAUACAUAGCCGACCUGAGAGGGUGAUCGGCCACACUGGGACUGAGACACGGCCCAGACUCCUACGGGAGGCAGCAGUAGGGAAUCUUCGGCAAUGGACGAAAGUCUGACCGAGCAACGCCGCGUGAGUGAAGAAGGUUUUCGGAUCGUAAAGCUCUGUUGUAAGAGAAGAACGGGUGUGAGAGUGGAAAGUUCACACUGUGACGGUAUCUUACCAGAAAGGGACGGCUAACUACGUG